RNAcentral lists this long non-coding RNA (5365 nucleotides) under Piliocolobus tephrosceles (Ugandan red Colobus). RNAcentral describes it as "lncRNA (ENSPTEG00000004365.1)". Lineage: Eukaryota; Metazoa; Chordata; Mammalia; Primates; Cercopithecidae. The record is from RNAcentral.
AAAAAAUAAAAAAAAAAAAAAAAUAAAUAAUGAGCACAUCAAAAAGUUCAGUUUAUAGAGGAAAGGGAUUUAUUUUAAGAUGCGCGAAUAAAGAAUUUGUUGAAAGUAAUAAUGUUAAAACCCACUCGUCCUCUCAAAAAAAUAUAUUUAUUGAGAGUAAAAAAAAUAAUAUUUUUAAUAAAUAUAAUCCAGUUGUGUUACCUUUAAUUGGACGAAAUUUAAAUAAAAAUAAAAAAAACGAACUUGAAAAUGAAAAUGAUGAUAACGAAAAGGCUAAUAAUAACAUAAAAAAGAAAAAUAAAAAAAGUGUUAAAAAUGUAAACAUAUUAAAUGAAAGUGAAAUAAAUAGUUUUUUGCUGAGAAAUAAAGCUUUUCGACUAACAUGGUCAUGUAUAAUACAAACAGUUAAAAAAGAAAUAGACAUUCAAGUAUCAAAAAACUUAAAUAAUGUGUUUGAAGAAAUUUAUUUAUAUUCUAUAUCUAACAACAAAUAUUUGCCUUUAAUUUUAAUGACAGCCGGUACAAAUGUAGAAGACCAUGAAAUAAUAAUUGAUACAUUAUCGUAUGAGUUAAAAAAGUGGAAUUAUUAUAAAAAAGGUAACAGAAAGAAUAGCAAUAGUAAUUUCUCUGAUGGUGCUACUGGUCUAAGUUAUGACAAUGACAAUAGUACCAAUUACGAUAGUACCAAUUACGAUAGUACCAAUUGUGGUAGUACCUAUUGCGAUUAUAAUAGUAAUCAUAAUCAAUAUAUUAACAGAACAGAUAAACGUGGGCUCGGUUUAUACCAAAACGAAGGUAACUACGACGACGAUGACAAAGACUCUUAUGUUUGUUUACUAAAUUCGAACACAUCAAAUAGUGUUAACUCUGCCAUUUGUAAUAUAUACAAUCAACUAUAUAAAGAAUAUAACACUCGUUUUUUAAUUAAAACACAAUCCGGAAGUAGGAAACGAAGCAUAAGAAUAAAAAAUUACAAUGACAUGGAUGAUAUAAAAAAAAAAAUGAAAAUAAGUAGCUUUAAUAGUAAUAUGUACAGUAAUUCUUUUGAUGAAGAAGUAGAUGAAAAGAGUGGAAAUAAUCUAGAGAAAAGUGUUAUUAAUAGUUCUUUAAAUUUAAAUAAUAUAUUAGAAGAGGAUUGUAAAGUUAAUAAAAAAAGUAUUAACUUGGAUAAAAUAGUAGAAUUAUAUAAAAACAUGAGUCAGCUAUAUAUGAAUCGAAACAGUUUAUCAAAUUUGACAAGUAUGGAUAAAAAUAUGAAUGAAGGAAGUGGUAUUGGUUUUAUUGGAGACAGUGAUAGUAUGAGUUGUAGUAGCAAAGAAAAAAUGUCAUUAAUAUGUGAAGAAUCAGAAGAAGGUAAUAAAAAAAAAGUUACAGAAAUACACGAUGUUGAACUAGAGUUAUAUAACAAACAGAACUCUUAUUUUUCGGACGGAAGAAAAAAGGUAAGAAUAAUUAUAUUAAUACAUGAUUGUGAAUAUUUUAAUAUUAAUGUAUUAAAUGGUAUUUUAAAUGCAUUAAUAAAUUUAAGAAUUGAUAAUAAAAUAUGUUUAAGUGUAGUGUUAUGUGUAUCAACUCCUUCUUUUUUUUUUAACCGUAUUACUACACCUGACACUCAAAGUAAAUUAAGAAUAAAAACGAUUGACAUAUUGAAUAAUAAAAUAGUAUGUGAAAAUAUAUGUGAUAGUUUAUUAUAUCAAAAUAUUAUACCAUUUAUAUUAACUUUUAGAACUAUGUAUGCGAUAAAAUUAUUAUUGUAUAAGAAUAAUCAGUCUAUUAGCCAUUUGGUACAUAUCCUAUACAUUUUAACAAAAGAAUUUUAUGAUAAUAAUUUAUUUUCCUUUUUGUCAUUACCUAUGAAUUAUUAUUUUGGUCUCAACAAUAGUAGUAAUGGUAACACUAUGUUAGAUGACACGAACCAAUAUCAGCAACAGUCAUAUAGUAAUAACAAUAAAGAAACUAAUUGUAACAUUCUAAAUAAUCAAACAACUACCGAAUACUCACCUUAUACCUAUGUAAGGUCUAAUAAAAAAUCAUUUGUUAAUUAUAUAAAAUAUGAUAUAAGUAUAUUACAUAAAAAAAUAAUUGCCUUGUGUUACUCUUCAAAUUUAUACUAUGCACACAUGUAUUAUUUAAAAAAAAAAUAUUCUACCAUAUUAUUAAAAAAUUAUUAUAAAAUACACGGAGAUAAUUCGGUUGUACAUACGCCUGGGAAUUCGGAUAAUGAGUUAGAGGUAUUUACAUUAAAAAAAAAAAACAAAAAAAAAAACGAUGACAAUCAAACAAAUAUAUCGGAAGAGUAUACAAACUUAGAUAUAGUAAAAAAUAAACAAUUGAUGGUAGACCAAGUAACCGAUUCGAUUAAUUUAAAAAAUGAUGAAUUGUUUUAUAUUCUUCAGGACGAGAAAAAUAACAACAAAAUAAAUGAAACAAAUGAUCAGUUGAGUUCGAUUUGUAAAUUUGAUACUAGUACAACCAUAGCUAGUGGUAGUUAUAAAAGUAUUGGUGAAAAUAAUAUACAAAAGGAUGUGGUUACUAGAAAAGAUGGUGAAUGUUAUAGUAAUAGUAAUAAUGACACUAACAACGAUGAUGUUAAAGGUUAUAUAAGCGAUAAUAAUGAAGAAGAGGAAUCAUCAAAAAAGAAAAACGAAAUAACAUUUAAUAGAAACGAAUACGCAUGGCAAUUUAAAGCAAACACUAUUAAUUGGUGGUAUGAUCACCCGUUUCGAGAUUUGAUAUAUUCCUACGAUAUUUUAAAAAAAGAAAAUAAUUUGAAAAAAGGCUUAAGCAAAAAGUUAAGUAAUGGUAGUAACAAAAUGAAAUGUGUCACGACGAGUAACCAAGUAAAUGGUAAAAAAGAAGAAGAUGUGUUUGAGCAAUCUGUAUAUAAUAAAAAUAAAAAUUUAUAUGAUAUAGAAAAUGUAAAAGAAAUUAACAAAGAUAUAUGUGAAUUGAGUUUACCCAUUUGUGUUUUACAACUAAUAGAAAGAAAAUACGCUUUUGUUAUUGCUAUAAAUUUUAUUAAUAUUAUUAUUUCCAAAUGUAAAUCUGAAUAUACAAAUAAUAGCUUAAAAAAAAAUGAGUUUUUCAAAAAUUUAUUUGAAUGUAGUGAAAAAAUAAAAUGGAGUGAUAUGCAUAAUAUUGUAUUUAUAGAAGACAUGUAUAAAAUAGUUGAAAAUGAAGUUAAAAAGUGUAUUAAUUUUUUAAUAGAUUGUAUAAGUCCAUAUUAUUUUAAAAACCAAAAAAUCCUAUAUGAUAUAUUAACUGAGUUUAAAAAUUAUUUUUCAAACAUAUAUAUAAUAGUAUAUAAUUUGGAAGAUUACUUAUAUUUGUUAAAAGAAAAAGAAUAUAAAAAAAAUACAAAAACUUUUAUUAACGAUGAUUUUUCCAAAAAUUUGAAUUACUCCUUUUCGUAUUCAAUUUAUUAUACCAUGCUUUCCAAAUUGGAUGAUCUUAUUGAGAUAUUUAGAAAGUAUAUACAGAAUAAAAAAAAUAAUAUAUAUACGGAUAGCGGUGCCGAAACAGGAAAUACUGUAACAAACUAUAUGUACUCCAACAUUAGUUAUAAUAAUAUGACAAAUGUUAGUUCUUUUAUAAAAAAAACAAAUGACCAUUCCAAUGUUGAUCAUAAUUAUAGCAUCAAAAGUUCUGCUGGUGAUAGUAGUAGUACAUUCGAGUUUAGUAAAACAUAUGAAGGUGGUCAGCAAAAUGAAAACGAAAAAAGUGGCGAAAAAGGUGGUGAAAAAGGUGGCGAAAAAGGUGGAGAAAAAGGUGGCGAAAAAGGUGGAGAAAAAAGUGGCGAACAAAAUGGCGAAAAAGGUGGCGAAAAAGGUGGAGAAAAAAGUGACGAACAAAAUGGCGAACAAAAUGGCGAACAAAAUGGCGAACAAAAUGGUGAAUACCAUUUCUUAGAUAAAGAACAAGGCAUUUUACCAAAUGCAGACAGCAAUGUAAAUAUGGUUGAUAAAAAAGAAAAAAAUAAUAACUUGAAUAAAUAUGAUACUACACAGAACAAUACAGACAUGAUAAACGAUAUAAGUAAACGUGUUGUACGAAGGUAUUUAACAAUUGAAAAUUAUUCUUUAAUUAGUAAAAAUAAAGAUAGUGGAAUAGAAAAAGAAAAAAAAGUUAUAACAGUUGAAGUGUUAUCAAAUAAUUUAAAUUUAUUCAUACAUGAUUAUUUAUAUUUAUUAUUACUUCCACCUGUACAUUAUCAUCCAUUAGCGCAUGAAUUGAUUGUACAUAAACCUAGUAGAGAUUUUACUGAAGCCAUGACUAGAGAUAUAAAAACGGAAUUAUUAGAAAUGCUAUGUUAUACUAACCCAUAUAGGACAGGUAGCUUAAUGUGUCAAUGUUGUUUAUUACCACGCAAUUUAUCCAAUCCAAAUAAAAAUACGAACAUAAUUUAUCAAAAUAAAAUAUUUUUAAACCCAUAUUUAGAUAACAUAUCAAAGUUAGAAGACUUAGUUAACAUGUACAGAAUAUAUGAACGAUGUAACAAAACGAUAGAGUUAUAUAAUUUUUUUAUUUUUUUUAUUAACAUUAAAAUUGACAAGUUUAUGGGCUACUCGAUUGAGAAAAAAAAGAUUGUUACUACUACAGGGGAAGAAAAAACAAAGCAACCGGGUCUUAAAAAAUGUAAAAAAAUGGAAGAAACCCUAAAACAAGAACUAAUAAAACAGGAAGAAGUAAUAAAUGACGAAAACCAAACCAACAAAGAAUUAUGUACACAAAUAUUACAAGAAUAUUAUUUAAAAUUUAUUAUAGCACUUAAUACAUUUUGUUCUUUUUUGAAAAUUCUAAAACCACCUAACGUAUCUGCUCUUUUAAAUUAUGCAAAUGAUAACGAUGAGUAUCUAUCAGAUGAUGACUAUUACAAUGGUAAUGGAAAAGAUGACACAAAGGGUAGUAAAAAUAAUGCGGAUAUUGAAGAAGUUUCAGUUGGGAAGUUGUUAAUGGAUAUCAAAAAAUCAUUACAAGGAUGUACAAGUAAAAAGUUAUUAUUUGGAAAAUUAUAUUACAAUCAAACUAUUGUGUCAAGGGAAUUACUUUUGCAAAAAUUUCUGGAGUAUAACAUAGACAAUACAAAUGGUACACAAUCAUAGUGCUUAAAUUAAUAUGUUAUGACAUGUGGAUAAAAAUACAAUUGGUGCAUACAGGAAAAAAAAAAAAAAAAAAAAAAAAAAAAGAAACCAGAUAAUAUCAUAUCACAUCAUAUUAUACCAUAGUUUUUUUAGUCAUUUUUUUUGGUCCCCUUGUUUACCCACUUAUUUACUGCUACUCUUUUUAGAACCGUUAAGCAACUCAUUCACUGUGUUUUAUCUUAUAUAUAAAUAAAUAUAUAUGCAAAUUUAUUAUUAAUAUUAUA